Molecule: ribosomal RNA, 464 nt
Filed under: uncultured bacterium
Lineage: Bacteria
Description: partial 16S ribosomal RNA
Rfam family: Bacterial small subunit ribosomal RNA
Source: RNAcentral
ACGAACGCUGGCGGCGUGCUUAACACAUGCAAGUCGAACGGAAAGGCCCCUUUGGGGGUACUCGAGUGGCGAACGGGUGAGUAACACGUGAGUAACCUGCCCUUGACUUCGGGAUAACUUCAGGAAACUGGGGCUAAUACCGGAUAGGAAUCCUUGCUGCAUGGUGGGGGUUGGAAAGCUUCGGCGGUUUUGGAUGGACUCGCGGCUUAUCAGCUUGUUGGUGGGGUAGUGGCUUACCAAGGCUUUGACGGGUAGCCGUCCUGAGAGGGCGACCGGCCACAUUGGGACUGAGAUACGGCCCAGACUCCUACGGGAGGCAGCAGUGGGGAAUAUUGCACAAUGGGCGGAAGCCUGAUGCAGCAACGCCGCGUGCGGGAUGACGGCCUUCGGGUUGUAAACCGCUUUCAGCAGGGGCGAAGCUUGUGGUGACGGUACCUGCAGAAGAAGCACCGGCUAACUACGUG